RNAcentral lists this long non-coding RNA (596 nucleotides) under Coturnix japonica (Japanese quail). RNAcentral's name for it is "lncRNA (ENSCJPG00005003930.1)". Lineage: Eukaryota; Metazoa; Chordata; Aves; Galliformes; Phasianidae. The record is from RNAcentral.
AAGCGAGCAACCUGACUCACUGACGAAGCUGGAUUAGGAAUAUAUUCCCGAGGCAGCAAUCAGUGAGUGCAAAUGGCUGGGACGAAUGGAGAGUGUUGCUCAUUCACCCCGCAGAGCGGCUGGACAGAGCGAGCCCCAUCACUGCCCAUCCUGAUGGGGUCACAGGAUAAACCCUCGUAGCAUCAUACCCGGUUGUGCAGGGGACACAACAGCAGUGCAGACCGACCCCCUGCCUCACUCAUUCCACACCCGGUGCAUUCGCGCUCCCACCCGCGUCACCGCUUUUCCACCCAGCAACGCGGCGACGUCACAGCCGUGAACCAAUGGGGAGGCGCGGGGCGGGGCCCGUGGGGAGCGUUGCGGCUUUAGCGCUGCCGCGCGUGGGCGAUGGGGGUUUGUGUCCCCCGUGCUUCGCUGCCCAGCGCUUUGUUCCGCCGUUCCGUGUGCAUCGUUUGUGCUCUGUCCGUGUCGCUCCUGUGCUACUGACGGCGAGUGUUGAAAUAAUGGUUAGCGCAGCCAAAAUAGCUCCGCUUUGUGUAUCUGUAUUUCCAUUGCGAAGCGUGAACUUCACCCUGGGUCCCAUGCCGAAGGAGUGA